GGAAGAGAAAACAACCAAGACAGUGGAGCAAGGUGGUGUUUUACAUAAGCGGAACUGCAUGUGGUGAACCAUCACAAGGAUAAUGAUAUUGAAUAAAUUUUAGCAAAGCAAUCACAACUACUAUAUUACGAAUUUUUUUAAAAUAAACUGGAAGAGAAAAUUUAAUAACUGCCCAAUUAGGCCAAUGUGUAUGUAAAUAUAGAGACAUUAAGCCUUAUCCUUAAUUUUACAGUUAUAGAGCUGAAUUAGAUAAUCUUCAACUCCUUCGAAUCAUAGAAAAAAAUUUCUAUUCAACAAAGUUUUGAAGUAAUAUGUCCCUUAGAUCAGAAUACAGAGGCUGUUCCUUUUUUAGGAGAAGGCUGGUCUGGAAAAACUUUUAUUUUUAAGAUUCUAAGACUUAACUAAAUGUUAGGGGAAAAUACACUUUAUAAAUUUGGAUACUUUAGUAUCCCAAAAUUAAACUGAAAUUUUCAUCGCAGAAACAUUAAGUAUAGUUUUCCAUCAUCUUAACAAUUAAAAUCACUUCAAAUCUACUUUACAUACAAACAGGACAGAAAAAAUAUUCGUGAAAAGAGAUUAAAUAGAAUUUGAGUGCCUAUUAACUACCAAGAAUAAUUCGAAUUACAAUUCGUAAUCAUCGUAUUAAAAGGAUAAAAUUGGAACAUGUGGAUUAUACAUGUAUCAAAUACAGUUCAUUUCCUGUAAUAAAAUUUUUUUCUUUAAAUUAACAAACAUUUCUAAAUUCAUUCAUUUGCACUAAUUUGUGUCCAUUUGAAGAGUUUCUGUCUGUCUUGGCCUUUGUUACUAUUUUGUAAACAAUGGUACCCUACAUAAUUGUAUUAGUGUUUUAAAUUGUCGCAAUAGCAGGUGAAACCCAAUUGCUAUUACAUGCUUUGUGUAUUUGUCACUGUCCUCAGCCACUUUCAAGAUUGUUCUGUUCUUUGUAAAUGCACUGGUCUAUUUAGAAUCUGUGAUGUAUACUUAUUGAUCCCAUACUUUCAAGUGAAUGUUAAUAUCCAAGAGUAAUGAUUUCUCUGAGAGAAACAUAUUUACUUAAAUAAUAAAUGUUUAUAUUUCAUGAUGUGUCAACAUUAUAAAAAAAGAGAAAAACAAUUUUACACUUCAGAUCAAUGGAGUAAAACUGAAAGUGUAGUUGAUACAUAUUGUAUUUCACUAUUUCCUUAAUAUGUGAUUAUAAAAUAACCUAUUUGCACAUGUGGACUAAGUCAUGCUGUUGACUCUCAAUAAAUGUUAAAUGAAAAUAACAA
Molecule: long non-coding RNA, 1268 nt
Organism: Phacochoerus africanus (Common warthog)
Lineage: Eukaryota; Metazoa; Chordata; Mammalia; Artiodactyla; Suidae
Exons: 2
Source: RefSeq, a predicted model, not a curated record